RNAcentral lists this ribosomal RNA (498 nucleotides) under uncultured Glomeromycotina. RNAcentral describes it as "partial small subunit ribosomal RNA". It matches the Rfam family "Eukaryotic small subunit ribosomal RNA", at positions 591 to 1092 of the family's 1831-position model. Lineage: Eukaryota; Fungi; Glomeromycota. The record is from RNAcentral.
CCAAUAGCGUAUAUUAAAGUUGUUGCAGUUAAAAAGCUCGUAGUUGAAUUUCGGGGUUCUACCGUCGGUCGGGCUACCAAGUCUGUACUGGUGUGUAGAAUUUCUACCUUCUGGAGAACCAUCAUGUUAUUAAUUUAGCGUGGUGGGAAACCAGGACCUUUACCUUGAAAAAAUUAGAGUGUUCAAAGCAGGCUUACGUCUGAAUACAUUAGCAUGGAAUAAUAAAAUAGGACGGUGGUCCUGUUUUGUUGGUUUCUGAAUCACCGUAAUGAUUAAUAGGGAUAGUUGGGGGCAUUAGUAUUCAAUUGUCAGAGGUGAAAUUCUUGGAUUUAUUGAAGACUAACUUCUGCGAAAGCAUUUGCCAAGGAUGUUUUCAUUAAUCAAGAACGAAAGUUAGGGGAUCGAAGACGAUCAGAUACUGUCGUAGUCUUAACCAUAAACUAUGCCGACUAGGGAUCGGACGAUGUUAAAUUUUAUUGACUCGUUCGGCGCCUUACG